Non-coding RNA from Mycena filopes, 92 nucleotides. NCBI's taxonomy places the organism in Eukaryota, Fungi, Basidiomycota, Agaricomycetes, Agaricales, Mycenaceae. The record is from the annotation of a GenBank genome assembly.
UCGGACAUGGUGUAUGGUACACAGCGCGUUCAUUUACUGAUGAACCCUAACGGUGUAACUCGCAGAUCGGGGUUCGACUCCCUGUGUCCGAA